RNAcentral lists this non-coding RNA (26 nucleotides) under Mus musculus (house mouse). Lineage: Eukaryota; Metazoa; Chordata; Mammalia; Rodentia; Muridae. The record is from RNAcentral.
UACAUGAUGAAAAUGAUAGGUGACCU